RNAcentral lists this ribosomal RNA (477 nucleotides) under uncultured bacterium. RNAcentral's name for it is "partial 16S ribosomal RNA". It matches the Rfam family "Bacterial small subunit ribosomal RNA", at positions 29 to 523 of the family's 1533-position model. The record is from RNAcentral.
AAUGAACGUUGGCGGUGUGGAUUAGGCAUGCAAGUCGUGCGCGAAACGUAGCAAUACGUGGAGAGCGGCGAAAGGGAGAGUAAUACAUGGUUAGCUGCCCUCGGGACUGGAAUAGCGGCGGGAAACUGCCGGUAAUGCCAGAUAACGUCUUCGGACCAAACGUGUAAACCGGCCCGAGGAGGCGACCAUGGCCUAUCAGCUUGUUGGCGGGGUAACGGCCCACCAAGGCUAAGACGGGUAUGGGGCGUGAGAGCGUGCCCCCACUCACUGGGACUGAGAACUGCCCAGACACCUACGGGUGGCUGCAGUCGAGAAUCUUCGGCAAUGGGCGCAAGCCUGACCGAGCGACACCGCGCGCGGGAUGAAGGCCUUCGGGUUGUAAACCGCUGUCGUAGGGGAGGAAGGUCUGGUGUAUAGCCAGGCUUGACCGAUCCUAGGAGGAAGGGCCGGCUAAUCUCGUGCCAGCAGCCGCAGUAA